RNAcentral lists this ribosomal RNA (1704 nucleotides) under Kluyvera genomosp. 3. RNAcentral describes it as "bacterial SSU rRNA". It matches the Rfam family "Bacterial small subunit ribosomal RNA". The record is from RNAcentral. Lineage: Bacteria; Pseudomonadati; Pseudomonadota; Gammaproteobacteria; Enterobacterales; Enterobacteriaceae.
AAAUUGAAGAGUUUGAUCAUGGCUCAGAUUGAACGCUGGCGGCAGGCCUAACACAUGCAAGUCGAACGGUAGCACAGAGAGCUUGCUCUCGGGUGACGAGUGGCGGACGGGUGAGUAAUGUCUGGGAAACUGCCCGAUGGAGGGGGAUAACUACUGGAAACGGUAGCUAAUACCGCAUAACGUCGCAAGACCAAAGUGGGGGACCUUCGGGCCUCACACCAUCGGAUGUGCCCAGAUGGGAUUAGCUAGUAGGUGGGGUAACGGCUCACCUAGGCGACGAUCCCUAGCUGGUCUGAGAGGAUGACCAGCCACACUGGAACUGAGACACGGUCCAGACUCCUACGGGAGGCAGCAGUGGGGAAUAUUGCACAAUGGGCGCAAGCCUGAUGCAGCCAUGCCGCGUGUAUGAAGAAGGCCUUCGGGUUGUAAAGUACUUUCAGCGAGGAGGAAGGCGUUGUGGUUAAUAACCCAGCGAUUGACGUUACUCGCAGAAGAAGCACCGGCUAACUCCGUGCCAGCAGCCGCGGUAAUACGGAGGGUGCAAGCGUUAAUCGGAAUUACUGGGCGUAAAGCGCACGCAGGCGGUUUGUUAAGUCAGAUGUGAAAUCCCCGGGCUCAACCUGGGAACUGCAUUUGAAACUGGCAAGCUUGAGUCUCGUAGAGGGGGGUAGAAUUCCAGGUGUAGCGGUGAAAUGCGUAGAGAUCUGGAGGAAUACCGGUGGCGAAGGCGGCCCCCUGGACGAAGACUGACGCUCAGGUGCGAAAGCGUGGGGAGCAAACAGGAUUAGAUACCCUGGUAGUCCACGCCGUAAACGAUGUCUAUUUGGAGGUUGUGCCCUUGAGGCGUGGCUUCCGGAGCUAACGCGUUAAAUAGACCGCCUGGGGAGUACGGCCGCAAGGUUAAAACUCAAAUGAAUUGACGGGGGCCCGCACAAGCGGUGGAGCAUGUGGUUUAAUUCGAUGCAACGCGAAGAACCUUACCUACUCUUGACAUCCAGAGAACUUAGCAGAGAUGCUUUGGUGCCUUCGGGAACUCUGAGACAGGUGCUGCAUGGCUGUCGUCAGCUCGUGUUGUGAAAUGUUGGGUUAAGUCCCGCAACGAGCGCAACCCUUAUCCUUUGUUGCCAGCGGUUCGGCCGGGAACUCAAAGGAGACUGCCAGUGAUAAACUGGAGGAAGGUGGGGAUGACGUCAAGUCAUCAUGGCCCUUACGAGUAGGGCUACACACGUGCUACAAUGGCAUAUACAAAGAGAAGCGACCUCGCGAGAGCAAGCGGACCUCAUAAAGUAUGUCGUAGUCCGGAUUGGAGUCUGCAACUCGACUCCAUGAAGUCGGAAUCGCUAGUAAUCGUAGAUCAGAAUGCUACGGUGAAUACGUUCCCGGGCCUUGUACACACCGCCCGUCACACCAUGGGAGUGGGUUGCAAAAGAAGUAGGUAGCUUAACCUUCGGGAGGGCGCUUACCACUUUGUGAUUCAUGACUGGGGUGAAGUCGUAACAAGGUAACCGUAGGGGAACCUGCGGUUGGAUCACCUCCUUACCUUAAAGAACCAUGCCGCGUGUAUGAAGAAGGCCUUCGGGUUGUAAAGUACUUUCAGCGAGGAGGAAGGCGUUGUGGUUAAUAACCACAGCGAUUGACGUUACUCGCAGAAGAAGCACCGGCUAACUCCGUGCCAGCAGCCGCGGUAAUACGGAGGGUGCAAGC